CAAAAAACAUGUUUUUUGCAGCUCUCUUACUGCUCUUAGCAACUUCAUGUGUGAAGUGUGAACAGCUGACACAGCCAGCCUCAGAGACUGUGCAGCCAGGUCAACGUCUGACCAUCACCUGUCAGGUCUCUUAUUCUGUUACUGGCUACUACACAGCUUGGAUCAGAAAGCCUGCAGGAAAAGGACUGGAGUGGAUUGGGAUGGCAGCAACUGGAUCUACAACAUACUACAAAGAUUCACUUAAAAGCAAGUUCAGUAUUUCCACAGACUCUUCCAGUAAAACAGUGACUUUAACUGGACAGAAUCUGCAGCCUGAUGACACAGCUGUGUAUUACUGUGCCAGAAACUCACAGUAA
Non-coding RNA from Maylandia zebra (zebra mbuna), 356 nucleotides. The record is from the annotation of a RefSeq genome assembly. NCBI's taxonomy places the organism in Eukaryota, Metazoa, Chordata, Actinopteri, Cichliformes, Cichlidae.